Molecule: ribosomal RNA, 597 nt
Filed under: uncultured bacterium
Lineage: Bacteria
Description: bacterial SSU rRNA
Rfam family: Bacterial small subunit ribosomal RNA (bases 1-520)
Source: RNAcentral
CCUACGGGAGGCAGCAGUGGGGAAUAUUGGGCAAUGGAGGAAACUCUGACCCAGCGACGCCGCGUGAGGGAUGAAGGCCUUCGGGUUGUAAACCUCUUUCAGUAGGGAAGAAGCGAAAGUGACGGUACCUACAGAAGAAGCACCGGCUAACUAUGUGCCAGCAGCCGCGGUAAUACAUAGGGUGCAAGCGUUGUCCGGAAUUAUUGGGCGUAAAGAGCUCGUAGGUGGUUCGAUACGUCGGAUGUGAAAAUCAGGGGCUCAACCCCUGACCUGCAUCCGAUACGGUCGAGCUAGAGUUUGGUAGGGGAGACUGGAAUUCCUGGUGUAGCGGUGGAAUGCGCAGAUAUCAGGAGGAACACCGAUGGCGAAGGCAGGUCUCUGGGCCAAUACUGACACUGAGGAGCGAAAGCGUGGGGAGCGAACAGGAUUAGAUACCCUGGUAGUCCACGCCGUAAACGGUGGGCGCUAGUUGUGCGAACCUUCCACGGUUUGUGCGACGCAGCUACGCAUAGCGCCCGCCGUCGGGAGGUACGAGCGCAGAUAAACUACAAGAAGUAGACGCGUGAGACGUGCGACGGACGACGACGAGGGAGGAGG